ACACGACUACAUUAGAUACCCGUGUAGUCCUAGCCGUAAACGAUACUCGCUAGGUGUCGGCCACGGUGCGACCGUUGUCGGUACCGUAGGGAAGCCGUGAAGCGAGCCACCUGGGAAGUACGGCCGCAAGGCUGAAACUUAAAGGAAUUGGCGGGGGAGCACAACAACGGGUGGAGCUUGCGGUUUAAUUGGAUUCAACGCCGGAAAUCUCACCGGGACCGACAGCAACAUGAAGGCCAAGCUGAAGACUUUGCCGGAUUAGCUG
Molecule: ribosomal RNA, 265 nt
Filed under: uncultured archaeon
Lineage: Archaea
Description: partial 16S ribosomal RNA
Rfam family: Archaeal small subunit ribosomal RNA
Source: RNAcentral